UGGGGGAUAUUGCACAAUGGGCGAAAGCCUGAUGCAGCGACGCCGCGUGGGGGAUGAAGGCCUUCGGGUUGUAAACUUCUUUUGCUCUGAACAAGGCGCACCAUGGGGUGUGUUGAGUGUAGGGGUUGAUUAGCGCCGGCUAACUACGUGCCAGCAGCCGCGGUAAUACGUAGGGCGCGAGCGUUGUCCGGAAUUAUUGGGCGUAAAGGGCUUGUAGGUGGCUGGUUGCGUCUGUCGUGAAAGCUCCUGGCUUAACUGUGGGUUUGCGGUGGGUACGGGCUGGCUUGAGUGCAGUCGGUGAGGCUGGAAUUCCUGGUGUAGCGGUGGAAUGCGCAGAUAUCAGGAGGAAUACCGGUAGCGAAGGCGGGUCUCUGGGCUGUUACUGACACUGAGGAGCGAAAGCAUGGGGAGCGAGCAGG
RNAcentral lists this ribosomal RNA (419 nucleotides) under bacterium. Its description in RNAcentral is "partial 16S ribosomal RNA". It matches the Rfam family "Bacterial small subunit ribosomal RNA", at positions 355 to 776 of the family's 1533-position model. The record is from RNAcentral.